Molecule: ribosomal RNA, 231 nt
Filed under: uncultured bacterium
Lineage: Bacteria
Description: partial 16S ribosomal RNA
Rfam family: Bacterial small subunit ribosomal RNA
Source: RNAcentral
CGGGUGAGUAACACGUGGGCAACCUUUCCUAUCGCGGGGGAUAACACCGGGAAACCGAUGCUAAUACCGCAUGUCGUCACUGGUCGCAUGGCUGGUGAAGAAAGCAGCAAUGCACGAUGGGGUGGGCCCGCGGCCUAUCAGCUAGUCGGUGGGGUAACGGCCUACCGAGGCGAUGACGGGUAGCUGGUCUGAGAGGACGGCCAGCCACACGGGGACUGAGACACGGCCCCG